Molecule: long non-coding RNA, 942 nt
Filed under: Equus caballus (horse)
Lineage: Eukaryota; Metazoa; Chordata; Mammalia; Perissodactyla; Equidae
Description: lncRNA (ENSECAG00000060347.1)
Source: RNAcentral
CCCAGGGUCUACCCAACGUGUGAAGGAGCUGUGCACACAUUUGUGUUCAUUCUUCUCAUAACAGCUGCCCCUUGACCAACCCAUCAUAGAGGUGUGCACACCAGAAGAAGUGUCCACUCUGGGGUGGAGGGACUCAAGAAAAGGCUUGUGCCAGCACUGAAAUUCUGGGGUUCCUGAUACCUGGACCAUGGUUUAAAAGGAGGGGUAUAGGCUCUAGGUGGGCAUGUCUUCUUGGCUCCUUGGGCCCCUCACCCCAUGGCUGGAGAAGGACCAGAAUGAGUGCCUCUAAAUUAUGGAGAUCGAAGGACACCGCCAAAGCAUGGCUUGAUGAGCAGUGUGUAGGUCUGCCCCCGGGAUCUGAACCCACAAACCCUGGGCAGCUGAAGUGGAGUGUCCUAACCUAACCACUACGCCACUGGGCUGGCCCCAGAAGUUUUUAAUUAAGAGGGAUUCAGUAAGGAAGACAAGUAAAGGUUUAGAAGUCAGGUAAUUAUUUUCCUUUACCCUUAUUUUGCUUUAUACUCAGAUGACAUGAUCUUUUAGAAGGCAAGGCAAACAUCUACACACAUAUAUAUCUUUUUUUAUAAUUAUAAGAAAUGCACUGGCACAGACUGUUGUUUCUUAACGAGACCCUCAAGCCUAUGAGUCCUUCCUACUGAUGUAAUUUCUGACCCUUCCAUAAUUGUAAUGACUCACAGUCCUGAAACCCACUGAGUGAGUGGGGCUAUUGAUUUUAUGGUGAUCUAUACCAAAGUAAAGAUUUAUAAGUGUGUGGAUCUUGACGACUGUGCUACUUAAAAAGACCUGAAACAAGUGAAACACUGGUGAGCUGAAAUAGGUUUGCUGUAAAGAUUUGAAUCCAUGAGGACAGGACAACAUCCUCCCCACAACAAGGAAGUCUUUGGUUAAAGUGGUGAAAUGAGCACAGCAUCAAGCUAUCCC